This 269-nucleotide long non-coding RNA is filed under the name Ricinus communis (castor bean). RNAcentral's name for it is "long non-coding RNA (RCOM_LNC003779)". Lineage: Eukaryota; Viridiplantae; Streptophyta; Magnoliopsida; Malpighiales; Euphorbiaceae. The record is from RNAcentral.
UCCACUUCUCGGCGUGGAGGAAGUUUCUUCGGCAGCUCUGGCGGCAUAACAUCUUUAAACUCAUCAAGCACGCCUCGGAUAGGGCUUGGAAGUGUAGGUUCAUCAACAUGGGUACCUUCUUCCACUUUAAGGGUUGCUAGGAAGGUUGGCUCCUUCCUUUUUACCCCUUUUGAGAGCUGUAUGGCCGACACCAUCUUAUCUUGACUUAACUCCCUUUUUAUCGGCACAACACAAGGUUGGCCAUUCUCCAUUAUGCACAUGGUGUUGGC